This is a small nuclear RNA of Nycticebus coucang (slow loris), 106 nucleotides long. The record is from RefSeq and is a predicted model, not a curated record. NCBI's taxonomy places the organism in Eukaryota, Metazoa, Chordata, Mammalia, Primates, Lorisidae.
GUGCUUGCUUCGGCAGCAUACAUACUGAAAUUGGAAUAAUACAGAGAAGACCAGCACGGCCCUGCACAAGGAGGACAUGCAAAUUCAUGAAGCAUUCCAUAUUUUU